CCUACGGGAGGCAGCAGUGGGGAAUAUUGGGCAAUGGGCGCAAGCCUGACCCAGCCACGCCGCGUGAAGGAUGAAGGUUUUCGGAUUGUAAACUUCUGUCGCGAGGGACGAAGAAUGACGGUACCUCGUAAGAAAGCACCGGCUAACUACGUGCCAGCAGCCGCGGUAAUACGUAGGGGGCAAGCGUUGACCGGAAUGACUGGGCGUAAAGGGAGUGUAGGCGGCUCAUCAAGUUAGAUGUGAACUCCCGCGGCUUAACCGGGGAACUGCAUCGAACACUGGGAAGCUGGAGUGCAGGAGAGGUGGGUGGAAUUCCUGGUGUAGCGGUGGAAUGCGUAGAGAUUAGGAGGAACACCAGAGGCGAAGGCGACCCACUGGACUGUGACUGACGCUGAGGCGCGAAAGCGUGGGGAGCAAACAGGAUUAGAUACCCGGGUAGUC
This 441-nucleotide ribosomal RNA is filed under the name uncultured bacterium. RNAcentral describes it as "partial 16S ribosomal RNA". It matches the Rfam family "Bacterial small subunit ribosomal RNA", at positions 338 to 795 of the family's 1533-position model. The record is from RNAcentral.